CCUCUUUCUCCUGGAGCUGGAACACACUUUUUUCUCCUGCCUUUGGACGUCGGAACUCUAGGCUCUCCAGGCUUUCCAGCCUCUGGACUUAACACCAGUCUCUGGACUUAACACCAGUCUCUGGAUUCUCAAGCCUUUGGCCUCAGACUGAGAAUUAUACCAGCAACUUCCUGGUUCUGAGGCUUUUGGGCAGCCAUGCUACCAGCAUCCCAGUGUUUCCAGCAGAAGGCCUGUUGUGGGAGUUCUCAGCUUCCAUGAGCAUGUAAGCUUGGUUAAAAGAACUCCAGAUGGCCCGGGGGCUGCAGGACUCCUUGCCAAUUAUCAGAGGAAGAUAAGGCCUGUGUGAAACCGGGGCAAACCUGAACCAGCGACCCCGUGUUACCUUUAGAUCAUUAACAUAUCAUCAUAAUGCUAAAACCUCACCCAUAGAAGAUAAUUGCUGCCAUUUUCUGAAUAUACAUUAUGUGAAGAAGCAUGUUCAUGAUCUGCACCUGCACGUCUGGAGUUCCUCCCCACAUGUGUUUACCUACCUCCCUGCCCCACAUCUAACGCCUUAAAAUCCCCCAGCUUCUCAUAUCUCAGGGAGAAGGAAUCUUUAGAGAAAGAGCUCCCUCCUCCGUUCCUGGCCAGGAAUAAAACCUGCUUGCCCUUUUUCCCAUUAGGUGUUACAGUAGAACUCAGUUAGCCUGUAACAAUAAGAAUUGCAUUAAAUCCUUAUAUCAACUUGGGAAGAAUGGACAGAUUUACCAUAUUAAGUCUUCUAAUCCAUAAGUAAGUAUGGUCAUUCUUUUUUUAGAUUUUUGAAAUUUCUUUCAUCAGCAAUUUUGUAGUUCUUUCCCUCACUAUCUAGAUCCCAAAUAUUUUCUAUUUUUUUUUUCUGAAAGUUCUAUCUCUUACAAUUUAAACCUGAGUAGUUAUCAGCAUGCAAGCCCUGUACCUGUUUUGUUGGAUUUAAAUUUAAGUAUUUUGUUUUUUGAUACAUUGUAAAUGCUACUGUAUUUUAAAUUUCAGUGCCCAUGUGUUCAUUGCUAGUAUAAAGAAAUACAACAUAUUCCAGCAGUCUAGCUGAAGUCACUUAUCAGCUCUAGGAGUUUUUGUUUUUGAUUCUAUUUUUGGUAGAUCUUUGAGUUUUCCCACUUAGAUAAGCAUGUUAUCUGCAAAUAGGGACAGUUUUAUUACUACCUUUCUGAUCUAUAUGCCUUUUAUUUCCUUUUCUUACCUUAUUGCAUUGGGUAGAACUUCUAACACUGUUUAACAAUAAUGGUAAGAGCAAUCAUCCUUGCCCUGUUCCUGUUCUCAGGGUACAUUCAUUCAUUCUUUCACUGUUAAGUAUGAUGCUGGCUGUGGAGUUGUUAUAGAUGCUCUUUAACAAGUUAGGACAAAUUCCCUCUAUUUCUAUUUUUCUGAGCAUUUUUAAACCCAUGAAUGGGUGUUUUGUCAAAUGCUUUUUCUGUAUUGAUUGGUAAGAUCAAUUUUCUUUUGUAUCAAUUUUCUUUUGUUAAUAUGUUGGAUUAUGUUGACUGAUUUGUGAAUAGUAAAACAGCCCUGCAUUCCU
Long non-coding RNA from Macaca fascicularis (crab-eating macaque), 1555 nucleotides. The record is from Ensembl. NCBI's taxonomy places the organism in Eukaryota, Metazoa, Chordata, Mammalia, Primates, Cercopithecidae.